RNAcentral lists this ribosomal RNA (491 nucleotides) under uncultured bacterium. Its description in RNAcentral is "partial 16S ribosomal RNA". It matches the Rfam family "Bacterial small subunit ribosomal RNA", at positions 29 to 507 of the family's 1533-position model. The record is from RNAcentral.
AGUGAACGCUGGCGGUAGGCCUAACACAUGCAAGUCGAACGGCAGCACAGUAAGAGCUUGCUCUUACGGGUGGCGAGUGGCGGACGGGUGAGGAAUACAUCGGAAUCUACUUUUUCGUGGGGGAUAACGUAGGGAAACUUACGCUAAUACCGCAUACGACCUACGGGUGAAAGCAGGGGAUCUUCGGACCUUGCGCGAUUGAAUGAGCCGAUGUCGGAUUAGCUAGUUGGCGGGGUAAAGGCCCACCAAGGCGACGAUCCGUAGCUGGUCUGAGGGAUGAUCAGCCACACUGGAACUGAGACACGGUCCAGACUCCUACGGGAGGCAGCAGUGGGGAAUAUUGGACAAUGGGCGCAAGCCUGAUCCAGCCAUACCGCGUGGGUGAAGAAGGCCUUCGGGUUGUAAAGCCCUUUUGUUGGGAAAGAAAAGCAGCAGGUUAAUACCCCGCUGUUCUGACGGUACCCAUAGAAUAAGCACCGGCUAACUUCGUG